GCCCAGGGGGUGCGACAGCAUACUAAAGUGCAAAUUUAGAGACGCACCUUAGUUGGUGCCGGGGCUU
This 67-nucleotide transfer RNA is filed under the name Gekko vittatus (white-lined gecko). Its description in RNAcentral is "tRNA-Cys". Lineage: Eukaryota; Metazoa; Chordata; Lepidosauria; Squamata; Gekkonidae. The record is from RNAcentral.